UCAUGUCUGCUACCGGAGUAACUAUAGCACCAUCUCGUGAUAUUUUCCACGAAUCUCAUGCGUAGAAAUAUCUGUAGAUCAGUAAGAACGCUUCUUAUAUCGGUAGCUCGAACUUAGCACCUCUACUGGUGAUUUGUGGUAUUUGAUUGUCGAGAUGGGAUCUGCUUAAUCGAUUGAGCAUGAUAUUGACGUUUAAAAUAAAAACUGAAAAUGGUUUAGUGUCUUUUCUUUAGCAAAAUAUGUAUGUACCAUUUUCUUGUAUCAUCUAUGCAUUUUUAAAUACAUUUGAUUAAAUAUACUGUGAUUGAUUUUCUCAAAAAGUGAAUAAGUUUUCUCUUAUUUUUCUAAGAAAAGUUUGCGAUGUCAGCAGUGACGUCAUCUCAGAAGACUUUGUCUGUGUGUUUAUGGAAAGAAUACGCAGCGACUAACAAGCAAAUGCACGUGUGACGACUCGAUUUCGCUUUUGGCGUAUUUCGUUGCAAUAGUGCUCGAUACUCUGUACGCAAUUAAAUCUCUGAAGAUUAUACCUGAUUGAUAACUUAUCGUUAAUCGUCUAUUCGUGAGUAUAUACAGCGUCCAUUAUCAUGUCAAAAUUGAUUGAUGAGAAAAAUUAAGAAAAAUUAGUCAAUAAAAAGUAUUGAUAGAUCAUGCACGUUAAGUGAAACGGUUAAACAGAAUAAUAAAAAAAUGUUACGACUAUGUGUUUUUAAAUUCACCGACUAGUAAUCGCUAUUAUUAGUUCCUACUAAAAUAACUGUUUUUUUAUCCGCGUUAUAUAUGCAGAUAAGAUAAAGAAGAACAUUUCAACCAUUUGUAUCGGUGGAAAAUCGUCUUGUCAAUUUCUAAUUGCGCAUGUGUUAAUAUCAAGAACUCUUCACGAUAUAUGCAUAUCUUGUACGUCUCGUCUUUUUUACAAGGAAGAUCGAUACGUGAUUUGUUAACCUCGAAAACGCCACGAACAAGGCUUAACCUACAUGUUAACCGAGAAAAUCAAGCGAACGUGAAACAGGCAAAACAACGAUUCUCCGUGUAUUCUUCGAGCACAUGUGAGGCAGAUUGCUCCCGCGGCACCGAUUUACGAAACGGCAAUGACAUUCCAUGGCGUCGUAAUUUUUCCAAUCGGGUAACGUUUCAAAUGUAGCCGCUAAGUCGAGGCCUUGGCUAUAGGCAGAAGUUAGCUCAAGGACGACGACCGCCUGUCUAUUCGAAUUUCAUCAUGGUGUGAAGCUAAGCAGGUGAAUGUCAGCCCCUUACGCCUCAUGCCCGUAAUGAGACAUAUCUUUCAGGCAUAACACCGUGCUCAGUAGAUGGACCUGAUUUGGUUAAAAAUAACGAUUAUGUAAAAUGUUAUCAGCGAAUAUGAAAAAGAAUAAGUAAAUAUGUAGGCUGAUAGAUAGUCUUUAAUUAAAACUUUUGACAUUUUGUAGUGUCAUGUUGGAGAUAAUUAGAGUACAGACGCUUAUAGAUUGGAAAAUUGAAAGAUCAUUGAAAAUUUAAGAUAUCCAAAAAAGCUCGUAUAAUAUUUAGAGGAUUUUAGUUGAAUUUAUAAAUUUCAAAUUUAUU
This is a long non-coding RNA of Bombus pascuorum, 1563 nucleotides long. RefSeq lists it as uncharacterized. NCBI's taxonomy places the organism in Eukaryota, Metazoa, Arthropoda, Insecta, Hymenoptera, Apidae. The record is from RefSeq and is a predicted model, not a curated record. The transcript is spliced from 2 exons.